UAGGAAGUGCAGCCGAAAUCAACGAU
This 26-nucleotide non-coding RNA is filed under the name Homo sapiens (human). Lineage: Eukaryota; Metazoa; Chordata; Mammalia; Primates; Hominidae. The record is from RNAcentral.